RNAcentral lists this ribosomal RNA (324 nucleotides) under uncultured bacterium. RNAcentral's name for it is "bacterial SSU rRNA". It matches the Rfam family "Bacterial small subunit ribosomal RNA", at positions 360 to 681 of the family's 1533-position model. The record is from RNAcentral.
AAUAUUGGGCAAUGCCCGCAGGGGUGACCCAGCAACGCCGCGUGGAGGAUGAAUGUCGUAAGAUUGUAAACUCCUGUUAGAGGGGAAGAAUAGUACCGGUUGGACCGGUAUAUGACUGUACCCUCAGAGAAAGCCCCGGCUAACUACGUGCCAGCAGCCGCGGUAAUCCGUAGGGGGCAAGCGUUGUCCGGAUUUACUGGGUGUAAAGGGCGCGCAGGCGGGAUAAAAAGUCAGUGGUGAAAUCCUACAGCUUAACUGUAGAACUGCCUUUGAUACUUUUAUUCUUGAGUUCGUGAGAGAGAGACGGAAAGCCAGGUGUAGUGG